This 19042-nucleotide long non-coding RNA is filed under the name Physcomitrium patens. RNAcentral's name for it is "long non-coding RNA (PPAT_LNC005246)". Lineage: Eukaryota; Viridiplantae; Streptophyta; Bryopsida; Funariales; Funariaceae. The record is from RNAcentral.
AAAUCUCUUGAUUUGGAGUUGUAAUGCAAAAGAUAUGACUACUCAAAGAUUGCUGAACUACAAACUCAGAAUUCGCUGUUUUGCAACUUUUUGCAUACUUUGAGGCCAAAUCACGUGUAUAUAGUGGGAAAUACUAUGUCAUGUAAUUCUAUGGCUUUCAAACAUCUCCCUCACAUCACCUCACUCAAAAUGACUCAAUUUUUCAUCAAACUCUCAAAUACUAGUGUUACUUCAGCAAAGACACUAUCAAGGUCUUGCACUAAGCUCAUACACUCACAAAUCCAGGAGUAAUGACUUCAACAAAACACUAGUAAUACUAUACCAUAAGAUCUCAACCACCAAACAAGCAACAAAGAAAAUAAAAUGCAAGAACAACUUACUUGGUAAGAGAAUGUGGGUCCAUAAUCUAUUGAAACAUUGAAAGCAUACUCCACACAAGUAAGUUAGGACCAGCAAGGUUGCACUAUAACAAAUAGAGUGUGGUAGUAUGAGAUAAUUCUUCCCAUGCCAACCCUUUCCUUAUAUACUAGUACCAAGGUACCAAGUGCUACAAUCCAUAUGAGAUAUCUCCUAGGACCAGCCCUCCCCUUGUACUCUAAUGUACUAUAGACCAGCCCCCUACCUUAUGGGAUAUCCUUAACAACACUUUUACUCUAUUGACCAUUAGCAACUACUUAAAGAGUUCUUUUCUCAACACUCCCACUUUGCUACUGGUCAAUUAGCUAUCAAUCCUAAUGCCUUGCUCAACUUGUUGUGUCCUUCUCUAACUAAGGCUUUUGUCAACAAAUCACCCAACAUGUCUUUGAUUUCACAAUACAUCAUAUCAAUAACCUCCAUCUCUAUCUUCUCUCUUAUGAAAUGAUGCUGAAUAUCAAUGUUUUUAGUUCUUGCAUGAUGCUUUGGAUUCUUUCCAAAAGUAAGACAUCCUUGAUUGUUAUACCUCAAUGGAGUAGCCUCCAAUUACACAAGUCCAAUAUCUUCCAAUAACAACCUCAACCAAAUUACCUCCAUUGCUUUAUGACUUGCUGCCAAAUACUCCGCCCCUAUUGUGGACCUUGCAAUGUUUGGUUGUCUAUUGCUAUUCAAAGAUAUGGCUCCCACUCAAACAAAGAAUACAUAGCCCAUUGUUGACCUUCAAUCGUUUGCAUCUCUCUUGGUUCUAAGCACUCACUUACAUCCAAUUGUUGUGGAAAGAUGUGGUUCUUUCACCAUUCACCUUGUGGUCUUCUCUCACGUGUUGGAUAUCUUCUUUCAUGCAAAGAAGAUGAGCCUUCUUGCACCUCUUGCUGCCUUGUAUGACUCAUGGAGUACUUUCUCUUACUCAUUUGUUGGUAUUCUUCAUCUUUAUUCUCUUCAUUGUCCUUGUUGUAUCUUGCUAGAAUUGAAGUCUUCAUAGUAUUGGGCUCUUCUAUCAUGGCAAGUUCCUCUUCUUCUUCACUUUGAGAAUGCUCUUCUUCAUCUUCUUGUUUGUUUGUUGGAAUUGAAGAUGUGUCCACAAACACACCACUACUCCCACUUGGACACAUCUCCCACUUUUCACUACCACUCAUAGAUGGUGUCCUCAUGGAUCCACAAACAUCCGAAUGCAAAAGCUCCAGCAAUUGGUUUGCUUUUCUUGCAACUCUUCUAGGAAAUGGUGUCCUAUGUUGUUUGCCUUGAAUGGAGUAUGAUUCAUGCUCAAAAGCUUGGAUAUGAGUAUUGGGCGGAAGCUGUGGUAAAUGCCGUAUAUACAAGAAAUAGGUGUCCCACAAGUGCACUUGAAGGAAUGACUCCCGAAGAAGCUUGGACUGGUAAGAAACCUUGUUUAUCUCAUAUGAGGAUUUUUGGAUGCAUUGCAUAUGCUAAAGUUCCAGAUAGUAUGAGAGGCAAACUUGAUGCAAAGGGCACAAGAUGUGCAUUCCUUGGAUAUUGUGAAGGCACCAAGGCAUAUAGGCUCAUGUGUUUAGACACCAAAAAGAUCAUCAAAAGUCGUGAUGUAGAGUUCUUGGAGUAUAAGAGUACAAGUGAAAAGUGGGAGAUGUGUCCAAGUGGGAGUAGUGGUGUAUUUGUGGACACAUCUUCUAUUUUAGCAAACAAAGAAGAAGAUGAAGAAGAGCAUUCUCAAAGUGAAGAUGGAAAUGAAGAUAUCAUUGAAGAAGAGCCCAACUCUAUAAAGACUUCAAUUCCAGCAAGAUACAACAAGGACAAUGAAGAGAAUGAAGAUGAAGAAUAUCAACCAAUGAAUGAGAGAAGGAAGUGUAUGAGCCAUAGAAGGCAGCAAGAGGUGCAUGAAGGCUCAUCUUCUUUGCACGAGAGAAGAUAUCCAACACGUGAAAGAAGACCACAAGGUAAAUGGUGGAAGAACCACAUCUUUCCACAAGUAAGUGAAGAUCAGGCCAAUGUUGCUCUUCUUGAUGAUCCAUUGACUUUGUGUGAUGCAAUGAGGUGUGGUGAUGCAAUGAAGUGGGAGAUUGCUAUGCAAGAAGAGUAUAAAUCUAUUAUGGACAACAAGACAUGGGAAUUGACUCCACUUCCACCAAAUCGUUCAGCAAUUGGAUGUAAGUGGGUGUUUAGAACCAAGAGAGAUGCUAUGGGCAAUGUUGUGAAGUACAAAGCAAGAUUGGUUGCCAAAGGCUACUCACAAGUUGCUGGAGUGGAUUUUAAUGAGACAUUUGCUCUAGUGGCCAAAUUCACUACCAUUAGAACCAUAGUAGCAAUUGGAGCAUCAAUAGACUUGGAGAUGCAUCAAAUGGACGUCAAGACAGCCUUCUUGAAUGGAGAAUUGGAAGAAGACAUCUACAUGGAGCAACCUCAAGGAUUUAUUGAUCAAGACAAACCCAACCUUGUAUGCAAGUUGAAGAAGUCAUUGUAUGGACUCAAGCAAUCACUAAGAGCAUGGUAUCAACGCAUUGACUCAUUCUUUGUGAAGGAAGGUUUUAUAAGAAGUGAAGCUGACUAUUCUUUGUAUGUGUUGCAAGCCAAGGACUUCUUGCUGGUUGUAAUCCUCUAUGUAGAUGAUUUAAUCAUCUUAAGCAACACCAUGGUAAAAUUAGAUUGGUUGAAGAAGAAAUUGGAGAAAGAGUUUGAAAUGAGUGAUUUGGGAGAGCUUCAUUAUUAUUUGGGUGUGGAAUUUACAAGGAAUAGAGUAUCAAAGACCAUCACAUUGAGUCAAAACAAGUACAUUGAAGAAGUAUUGAAACGAUUCAAUAUGCAAGAUUGCAAGCCCAUUGGAACUCCUUUGGAAGCCAACUUGAAGUUGAUGAAGCUCACGGAUGAGGAAUAUGCUGAAGUGGAGCAUCAAAUGCAAGGCAUACUAUACAAGGCAGCAGUAGGCUCACUCAUGUAUGCAAUGGUGGGUACAAGGAUGGAUCUUGCAUUUGCAGUAAGUGUUGUAAGUCAACACAUGGUAAAACCAGGUCCUAUUCAUUGGGCAACCAUCAAAAGAAUCAUAAGGUACUUGAAAGGCUCUUUGAACCAUAAACUAUGUCUUGGAGGAAAUAAUAUUGCAUUACAUGGAUAUUGUGAUGCGGAUUGGACUCGAGAUACAAAUGAUAGAAGAUCAACAACGGGCUAUGUAUUCUUUGUUGAAAUGGGAGCCAUAUCUUGGAAUUGUAAGAGACAACCAACCAUUGCAAGGUCCACAAUGGAGGCGGAGUAUAUGGCAGCAAGUCAUGGAGCAAUGGAGGCAAUUUGGUUGAGGUUGUUGUUGGAAGACAUUGGACUUGUGCAAUUGGAAGCCACUCCAUUGAGAUGUGACAAUCAAGGAUGUUUGGCUUUUGCAAAGAAUUCAAAGCAUCAUGCAAGAACCAAACACAUUGAUAUUCAACACCACUUUAUAAGAGAGAAGAUAGAGAUGGGAGUUAUUGAUAUGAUGUAUUGUGAAACCAAAGACAUGUUGGCUGAUUUGCUAACAAAAGCCUUGGUGAAAGAGAGACACAACAUAUUGAGUAAGGCAUUAGGAUUGAUAGCUAAUUGACCAAUAGCAAAGUGGGAGUGUUGAAGGAAUGAACUCAUUUAGUUGUUGCUAAUGGUCAAUAGAGUAUAUGAGUAAUGAGGGAUAUCCUACAAGGUUAGUUGCUGGUCUAUAGAACCUUAGAAUACAAGGAGAGGGCUGGUGCUAAGAGAUAUCCCAUAUGGGUUGUAACACAUGGUACUUUGGUACUAGUAUAUAACAAAAGGGUUGGCAUGGGAAGAAACAUCUCAUACCACAUUCUAUUUGUGAAGUGCAACCUUGCUGGUCCUAACUUGCUUAAGUGGAGUUUGUUUUCUAUGUUUCAAUAAGUUAAAGUAGAAUAAGUUACCUCGUAAAGGAUAAUAUCUUAUGUAAGUUUCUAAUGGUCAAAGGCUUGACUCUUGACAUAUAGAUAAAGCAUCCUAUAGACAUAGGAUGGGAUCAAGGACAAAGAGUCAAAGUCAAGAGGAUAAAGUGUGUCCUAGAGAAUAUCCAAAGAACUAGGUAAUAGUAAUUAGUAUAUGACAUACAAUACCCUCGUGUUAUGUAAGAUGCCAUAGGAUCCUACGAUCCUUGGAUACCCUUGUGGUAUAGUGAAACAUAGAAAGCAUACUCCACACAAGUAAAUUAAGACCAGCAAGGUUGCACUUUAACAAAUAGAGUGUGGUAUAAGAUAAUUCUUUCCAUGCCAACCCUUUCCUUAUAUACAAGUACCAAGGUACGACGUGCUACAAUCCAUAUGGGAUAUCUCCUAGGACCAGACCUCCUCUUAUACUUUUAUGUACUAUUGACCAGCACCUAACCUUAUGGGAUAUCCCUAACAACACUUGUACUCUAUUGACCAUUAGCAACUACUUAAAGAGUUCUUUCCUUCAAUACUCCCACUUUGCUAUUGGUCAAUUAGCUAUCAAUCCUAUUGCCUUACUCAACUUGUUGUGUCUUUCUCUAACUAAGGCUUUUGUCAAUAAAUCAGCCAAUAUGUCUUUGGUUUCACAAUACAUCAUACCAAUAAUCCGCAUUUCUAUCAUCUCCUUCUUAUCUCCUUGCGUUGUGAGGUUAAGACUUUGUAGAAAGACCUUGAUAGUGUCUUUUGAGUUGGUGAAGUUUCUUCAUUAUCCUUCAGUGUUUUGAUGAAAAAGUGAUUAAGACGAGUGAUUGUGAGUUCCAUGUGGGUGCAAUUACUUGAAAAAAGCUUCACAAGUUGAGUUGAAAGUGUUUUCAGUCAGAUACCACUCUUUUGUUCAUAACAGGGCAUUCUGAGAUUCUGCUAGUGCAAACCUCGUUUGGUGACUUUAAGCUUUUAGAGACUCCUUCUCUCAAUAUUUUUUCAUACACUCCUCCUUAGACAUGGCUUCUAUUGAGGGUGAAGGUUUGAGAGUGAUUCAGAAAUUUAGAGGCAACAAUUUCUACCAUUAGAAGGUCAAAAUGGUGCUUUUGUUGGCGUCUUUGGACAUUUGGGACAUUGUAGAUGAAAGUGAAGACCCUCCAAGCAUAAAUGCAAGCCCUAAGGACCACAAGGACUUCAAAAGACGUGAAAAGAAGGCUUUUGGUAUGAUUUCCACCAAUUUGGAUGAAGCCAACUUUUCUCACAUAAUCCAUUGCAAAGGACGAGCAGAAGCAUGGAAGAUACUUUGCAACAUAUAUGAGAGCAAGAACUUGUCCAUCAUCCUCUUCACAAGAAGGAAAUUCUUCACUUGUAAGAUAGAAGAAGGUGAAGACCUCAUGGCACAUGUUAAUAAGGUAAAGGCUCUUGCAAAUUAACUAGCAAUUGUUGAUAAGCCUUUAGAGGAUGGUGACAUUGUCAUGACUCUACUCAUGAGUCUUCCCGAGUCCUACAACUAUCUCAUUGUGGGAUUGGAGUCUGUAACGUUGAAAGAGCUUACAAUGGACUAUGUGACAUCAAGACUUGUACAUGAAGUAACUAAAAGGAAAGAGAAGGAGCAUCAAAGUGAAGAUUAAGCUCUCCUCUCAAGACAAGGCAAAGGUCCCUAUGCCAACCAACGUGACAAUGUGAGAAGCAAUGCAAGAACUUGCUUCAUUUGUGGAUAACCGGGUCAUUUUGUGCGAAAUUGCUAUAAGGCCAAGCAAGGAAAUAGAGAAAAUGAUAACAAUGUAUGUGAUGAAGUUGGUGGAGAUGAUUAUGCAUUCAUGGCAAAUGAAGGCACGUCUAUGGCUGCCAUGUCCAAAUGGAUCAUUGAUUCGGGUGCUACCAAGCACAUGACUCCAUACAAGUGUUCAUUUGACACUUAUGAGACUAUUCCAACAACAAAAGUAUGGUUAGGAGAUAAUGGCAUGGUGCAAGCUAUUGGAAUUGGCUCCAUUGUGGUGGAGAUUGUUGUGAAGAAUCAAAUGAAGAAGAUCAGAUUGAAAGAAGUGUUACAUGUGCCAAAGAUGAAGAAGAACCUUCUUUCGGUGAGUAAACUUGUUUCUCAUGGUUGUAAGGUGCAAUUUGAUAUGAAUGGAUGCUUUGUGAAGACAAUGGAUGGAGAUAAUCUUUUGAAAGGCUUUAGAGAUGGCAAUCUCUACUUCAUCAAUUGUAAGAAGGUGAAUGGAGUUGAAGUGGCCGCAUUUGCUGAUUUUCCAGAAGAUCAAGACAAGUUUGGCAUUUAGCAUCCACGCCCUGGUCAUUUGAAUGCCAAAAGUAUGAAGGAGCUCCAAUCCAUGGUUAGUGGCUUAGAUCUUGGUCAAUCAUGCACAUAUCUUACUUGUGAAGGUUGUAUUCAAGACAAACAACAAAGAGCCUCAUUUCCAAGUGGAAUUGCAACACGUGCAACCAAAUCGUUGGAGAUUGUGCAUUCUGAUGUUUGGGGACCUAUGAGGACACCAUCAAUGGUAGGAUCAACAUACUUUGUUACAUUUAUUGAUGACUUUUGAAGAAGGUGUGGAUUUUCAUCCUUAAAUCCAAGAAUGAAUGCUUUUCAAAGUAUAAGGAAUUUAAGGCACUUGUGGAGAAGCAAUGUGAGUGCAGGAUCAAGGUUUUGCAUACAAACAAUUGAGGUACCAAGGCAUAUAGGCUAAUGUGUUUGGAUACCAAGAGGAUUAUCAAAAAUCGUGAUGUUGAAUUUAUGGAGCAUAAAAGUGCUUGUGAGCACUUGGAGAUGUAUCGAAGUGGGAGUAAUGGUGUGUUUGUGGACACAUCUUCAAUUUCAGCAACGAAAGAAGAAGAAGAAGAUGAAGACAAUGAAGAAAGUGCAGAUUUGAAUCUACAUGAACCAAAGAAGAUGAAAAAGAAGAAGAAGAAAGUCUAUACAAUUGGGAUGACAAACAAUGAUGAAGUUGAAGAUAAUGAUGAUAAUGAGGAAUACCAACCUUUGAGUGAGAAGAGACAAGGUUCAAAAAAAAAAAAGGUUAGAGACCAUCAAGGUGAAUAUUCUUCAAAUGAUAGGAGAUAUCCUACAAGAGAAAGAAAACAACGUGGUGAAUGGUGGAAGGACCAUAUCUUUCCCCAAGUAAGUGAAGAACAUGCCAAUGUUGCACUCCUUGCUGAUCCAUUGAAUAUAUGUGAUGCUAUGAAGUCUACGAAUGCGUUGAAGUGGGAGGAGGCUAUAGAAGAAGAGUACAAAUCUCUCAUGAGCAAUGGAACAUGAGAAUUGACUCAACUUCCACCUAAUCGAUCUUCAAUUGGUUGUCAGUGGGUGUUUAGAACCAAGAGGGAUGCAAUGGGUGAUGUUGUGAGAUAUAUAUUGAAACAUAGAAAGCAUACUCCACACAAGUAAGUUAGGACCAGCAAAAGUAAGUUAGAACCAACAAGGUUGCACUAUAAUAAAUAGAGUGUGGUAUGAGAUAAUUCUUCCCAUGCCAACCCUUUCCGUAUAUACUAGUACCAAGGUACCAAGUGCUACAAUACAUAAGGGAUAUCUCCUAGGACCAGUCCUCCCCUAGUACUCUAAUGCACUAUAGAUCAGCACCCUACCUUAUGGGAUAUCCUUAACAACACUUGUACUCUAUUGACCAUUAGCAACUACUUAAAGAAAUCUUUUCUCAACACUCCCACUUUGCUAUUGGUCAAUUAGCUAUCAAUCCUAAUGCCUUACUCAACUUGUUGUGUCCUUCUUUAACUAAGGCUUUUGUCAACAGAUCAGCCAACAUGUCUUUGGUUUCACAAUACAUCAUAUCAAUAAUAUCCAUCUCUAUCUUCUCUCUUAUGAAAUGAUGCUGAAUAUCAAUGUACUUAAUUCUUGCAUGUUGCCUUGGAAUCUUUGCAAAAAUAAGACAUCCUUGAUUAUCACACCUCAAUGGAGUAGUCUCCAAUUGCACAAGUCCAAUAUCUUCCAAUAACAACCUCAACCAAAUUGCCUCCAUUGCUUUAUGACUUGCUGCCAAAUACUCCGCCCCUAUUGUGGACCUUGCAAUGUUUGGUUGUGUCUUGCUAUUCGAAGAUAUGGCUCCCACUCAAACAAAGAAUACAUAGCCCAUUGUUGACAUUCAAUCGUUUGCAUCUCUCUUGGUUCUAAUUAUUGAAACAUAGAAAGCAAACUCCAUACAAGCAAGUUAGGACCAGCAAGGUUGCACUUCACAAAUAGAAUGUGGUAUGAGAUGAUUCUUCCUAUGCCAACCCUUUUCUUAUAUACUAGUACCAAGAUACCAUGUGUUACAACCCAUAUGGGAUACCUCUUAGCACCAGCCCUCUCCUUGUAUUCUAAGGCACUAUAGACCAGCAACUAACCUUGUAGGAUAUCCCUCAUUAUUCAUAUACUCUAUUGACCAUUAGCAACAACUAAAUGAGUUCUUUCCUUCAACACUCCCACUUUGCUAUUGGUCAAUUAACUAUCAAUCCUAAUGCCUUACUCAAUAUGUUGUGUCUCUCUUUCACCAAGGCUUUUGUUAGCAAAUCAGCCAACAUGUCUUUGGUUUCACUAUACAUCAUAUCAAUAACUCCCAUCUCUAUCUUCACUUCUUAUAAAACCUUCCUUCACAAAGAAUGAGUCAAUGCGUUGAUACCAUGCUCUUGAUGAUUGCUUGAGUCCAUACAAUGACUUCUUCAACUUGCAUACAAGGUUGGGUUUGUCUUGAUCAAUAAAUCCUAGAGGUUGCUCCAUGUAGAUGUCUUCUUCCAAUUCUCCAUUCAAGAAGGCUGUCUUGACGUCCAUUUGAUGCAUCUCCAAGUCUAUUGAUGCUCCAAUUGCUACUAUGGUUCUAAUGGUAGUGAAUUUGGCCACUAGAGCAAAUGUCUCAUUAAAAUCCACUCCAGCAACUUGUGAGUAGCCUUUGGCAACCAAUCUUGCUUUGUACCUCACAACAUUGCCCAUAGCAUCUCUCUUGGUUCUAAACACCCACUUACAUCCAAUUGCUGAACGAUUUGGUGGAAGUGGAGUCAACUCCCAUGUCUUGUUGUCCAUAAAAGAUUUGUACUCUUCUUGCAUAGCAAUCUCCCACUUCAUUGCAUCACCACACCUCAUUGCAUCACACAAAGUCAAUGGAUCAUCAAGAAGAGCAACAUUGGCCUGAUCUUCACUUACUUGUGGAAAGAUGUGGUUCUUCCACCAUUCACCUUGUGGUCUUCUUUCACGUGUUGGAUAUCUUUUCUCAUGCAAAGAAGAUGAGCCUUCAUGCACCUCUUGCUGCCUUCUAUGGCUCAUACACUUCCUUCUCUCAUUCAUUGGUUGAUAUUCUUCAUCUUCAUUCUCUUCAUUGUCCUUGUUGUAUCUUGCUGGAAUUGAAGUCUUUAUAGAGUUGGGCUCUUCUUCAAUGAUAUCUUCAUUUCCAUCUUCACUUUGAGAAUGCUCUUCUUCAUCUUCUUCUUUGUUUGCUGAAAUUGAAGAUGUGUCCACAAAUACACCACUACUCCCACUUGGACACAUCUCCCACUUUUCACUUGUACUCUUAUACUCCAAGAACUCUACAUCACGACUUUUGAUGAUCUUUUUGGUGUCUAAACACAUGAGCCUAUAUGCCUUGGUGCCUUCACAAUAUCCAAGGAAUGCACAUCUUGUGCCCUUUGCAUCAAGUUUGCCUCUCAUACUAUCUGGAACUUUAGCAUAUGCAAUGCAUCCAAAAAUCCUCAUAUGAGAUAAACAAGGUUUCUUACCAGUCCAAGCUUCUUCGGGAGUCAUUCCUUCAAGUGUACUUGUGGGACACCUAUUUCUUGUAUAUACGGCAUUUACCACAGCUUCCGCUCAAUACUCAUAUCCAAGCUUUUGAGCAUGAAUCAUACUCCUUGCCAUCUCCACAAUGGUGCGAUUUGCUCUUUCAGCAACUCCAUUUUGUUGUGGGGUAUAGGGAGUGGAGGUUUGUCUUGCAAUGCCUUCAUGCUUCAAUAACUCAUCAAAGUCUUUGGACAAAUACUCACCUCCAUUGUCCGAUUGCAGCACCUUAAUCUUGUGCUCACAUUGCUUCUCCACAAGUGCUUUCCACUCCUUAAACUUAGCAAAACACUCACUUUUGGCCUUGAUGAUAUAAAUCCAUACCUUCCUUGAAAAGUCAUCAAUAAAUGUGACAAAAUAUCUUGCUCUACUCAUAGAUGGUGUUUUCAUGGGUCCACAAACAUCCGAAUGCACAAUUUCUAGUAAUUGAUUUGCUCUUGUUGCAAUUCCACUUGGAAAUGGUGUCUUAUGUUGUUUGCCUUGAAUGCAACCUUCACAAGAUAGAUUCAUAGUAGAAUGGCCAAGGUCUAAGCCACUUACCAUGGAUUGAAGCUCCUUCAUGCUUUUGGCAUUCAAAUGUCCAAGUCUUUGAUGCCAAAUGCCCACCUUAUCUUCAUUUGAUGGAAAUUCAGCAAAAGCAGCAACCUCUUCUCCAUUGAUGCGCUUGCAAUUGAUAAUAUAGAGAUUGCCAUCUCUAAUCCCUUUUGCUACUUCUUUGCCUUCCAUGGUUCUCACAAAACAUCCAUUCAUAUUGAAUUGCACUUUGCAUCCAUGACUUACAAGUUUAUUCACCGAAAGGAGGUUCUUCUUCAUCUUUGGCACAUGCAACACAUCCUUGAGUGUGAUCCUCUUGCUUAUGCCCUUGACCACUACUUCCACUACAAUGGUACCCAUUCCAAUGGCUUGUACCAUACCAUUAUCACCUAACCAAACCUUAGUUGCUGGAAUUGGUUGAUAAGUGUUAAAUGAACACUUGUAUGGAGUCAUGUGUUUGGUACAUCCAGAAUCCACGAUCCAUUUGCUCAUAUCAAGCAUGGAAGAAGUUUGUUUUGCCAUGAAUGCAAAGUCAUCACCUCCAUGGUCAUGAAAAGCAUUAUUGGCAUUCUCUCUUUCUCCUCUCUUUGCCUUGAAACAAUUCUUAGCAAAAUGCCCUGGUUUUCCACAAAUAUAACAAGUUUUGGGAAGAUUACGUUGAAUGGAAGUACUUGUCUUACUUGGUCUCGUGAAUAGUGCUGAUUGCUCUCCAAUAGACUCCUUUUGCUUUCUUUUGGUCACUUCAUGGGCUAGUCUUGUCGUGACAUAGUCCAAAGUAAGAUCUUUUCUUGAAAUUGACUCCAAUGCCACAAUGAGGGAGGAAUAGGAGUCCGGAAGGCUUGAGAGCAAUUUCAUCACAACAUCUUCUUCAGAUAAAGGCUUGUCAAUAACAGCAAGUUGGUUUGCAAGUGCUUUUACCUUAUUUACAUGAGCCAUGAGAUCUUCACCUUCUUCCAUCUUCACGGUGAAGAAUUUUUGCCUUGACCAUAGUACAUUGGAGAGAUUUCUACUCUCAUAGACGUUGCAAAGAGUCUUCCAUGCCUCUGCUGCCCCUUUGCAAGAAAUGACAUGAGCAAAGUUGCUCUCAUCUAAAUUGGUGGCAAUUAUGCCAAAAGCCUUCUUUUCUCGUCUUUUGAACUCCUUAUGCUCCUUGAUGCUUGCCUCUACCCCAGGUGCCUCUUCCUCCUCACAUACAAUCUCCCAAAGAUCCAAUGACGCCAAAAGUAGCUCCAUUUUGGCCUUCCAGUGGUGAAAGUUGUCACCUUUGAACUUUUCAACCAUUCUCAAGCUAUCACCCUGUCACGGACAUACAUAUAAUUACCUAUAUGAAUAGAUAAAAGUAUGUAAAAGUAGAUAAAAGUAGGUUAAUUGUGUAAUAUCUUCUAGAGAAGCUUCUUAAAAGCUUCAUAGACGCUACUUUGACUUUAUAGGAGUCUAUAGUUGACUUUUAGGCUAGAAACUUGGUCAACAUGUUAGCCAUGUGCCACACAUAUUGGAAGCUUAAAGAACAAGCUAACUACGUGGUCCAUCCAUAGAAAACUUGCCUUGUAAUCAAAGGCAUGUGGCCUAGAAAGUCAACAUAUAUUGGAGGUCUUAUAGAACAUCGCCAUGUGGCUUCUAGUUAGAUAGUAUAUAUAGAGGCAAGAGUGAAGCCCUCUUCACUCUUGUCAACUCCUUUCUUGCUUCUAGUCCAGUUUUAAGGGUCUCUAGUUUUCUUGUAUUUUGGCAAUAGCCAUUCUAAUUUCUUUCUUAAUAUACAUAUUUCUAUUUUGUCCUAUUUCUUUGAGAAAAGUCUCACUUAUUCUUUAGCUUUCAUCGAGUUCUUGUCCUUGACAGAUUGACAAGAGUACACUUACAAUAUGAGAGCUUUGUCUUUUCUUGAUUAAGAGUGGAUUACCCCUUUUUCUUGAUAAGACAUAAGCGCAUUAGAAGUUGCGGAUUACCCUCUUUUAAACUGAUAUUGUUCUUAGUAUUUUCUUUGUUAUCAAUUCCUCUCUUCUAUUUGUUUUGAGCAUUAUUAGACAUCUUCUCUUUUCUAAGUGCUACUAUGGCAGAGCUUGUUGAAAUGAAGAGUGCAAUGGCACAGAUGCAAGAACAAUUGAGGGAGUUAAUGCUUGCGAUGCAUCAACUCAAUUUACCACCACAAUGAGCAACAAGAAUGGUAGGAAGUGAAGAUAUAGAGAUGAUUGGGGCUGCUUCAACAUCUGCACCAAACCAUGUCCCUUCUCCCAGAAUGGAACACCCUUCGAGUGUUAGAGAACCGAGAGUGGCCUUGCCCGAGAAGUUUGAUGGUACCAGAUCCAAGUUUCGAGGAUUCAUCAAUCAGGUCCAAUUAGUGAUUGAACUUCAACCCCUGAGCUAUCCAACUCCAGGGUCACAAGUUAGAUUCAUUGGUACACUUCUUUCAGGUUCAGCAUUGUCAUGGUUUUCAUCUUUUCUUGAACGACGAGAUCCAAUAUUGGAUAAUCUGGAGGCUUUUUUGGCGGAGUUUCGAUCCAUGUUUGGAGAACAUGAUGCAAUUCGUGUUGCAACCAACAAGAUCCGUAUUUUGCGACAAGGCAAUCGAUCAGUAACAUUAUAUGCUUCGCAAUUUUGACAACUUGCAACUGAUAUCAAGUGGGAUGAUGCCGCACUUGUGAGUCAAUUUUUCUACGGAUUACAAUAUGAGGUAAAGAAAUUGAUGCUUAAUUUACCUGAUCCUCAAACAUUGAGUCAAGCAAUUGACUUUGCUGUGAAGUGCGAUAAUCGACUUUUUGAAUUUCGAUUCGAGAGUCGCACAAGUAGGCCUCAACGUUACUACAAUUCAAUGGCAACACCGACGUCUCCUCAACACAUACCUUCAGAAGUAGAGGAUAUGCAAAUUGAUGCGGUACGUUUCAAACCUCUUACUGAGCAAGAAAAGUCUCGUCGUCGACAAGAAGGAUUGUGCUUAUAUUGUGGAGAACCUAAGCACACUGCUCAACAUUGUUCAAAGAAGCGACGUAACUACAAAAUGAGGAGUACGGCUGUCAAAGAAGACAAUAUGUCAGAAAACGAGUACGUCUAGCUACAAUAGGGACCGUGCGGCUGGAAUCUUGUACAACUUCUAAUGAAGGUCCUAUCCUCUCCUCAGAACCAUCUCCUUGUUUUAUAAUAGAUGUGCGUUUAGGACCUAAUAAUUACAAAGCCUCUGCCUUGAUAGAUUCAGGAGCCUCAGCUUAUUUUUUAGAUGAAGAAUUUGCUAGAUGUCAUAGAAUAUCAUUAAUACAAAAAACUAAACCUGUACACGUAGAAGUCAUAGAUGGUCGUCCGUUGUCUUCUAGAGAUGUAACUCACGAAACACUUCCUAUAGAUGUAGUAAUAAAAGGUCAUAGUAGUUGCGUAAUUUUUAAUAUAAUUAGAUCUCCCUCUAAUCCAGUAAUUUUAGGCUUAUCAUGGUUAGAAAAGUAUAAUCCUCGAAUAGAUUGGAUUUCUCGUAAACUUGAUUUUCCUCGGAGCAUUAGUAACAGUUCUAUUAAUCAAGUAAAAAAACCAUGAGUCUAGUAUAGUAAAACCCGCACUUAUAGGUGCAAAAGCAUUUAUACACGCAGCAAAAGAAGGAUCAACUUUUGCUAUUUAUGCUGCACCUAUUUCUGAAAGCGUAAAGACUUCAAGUGACAUUCCAAGUCAAUAUCAAGAUUAUCAAGACGUUUUUGAGAAAAAAAAUGCAGAUAUUCUUCCUGAGCAUCGCCCAUACGAUUGUUCAAUCGAUCUCAAGGAAGGAACUCAGCCACCAUUUGGACCAAUUUACAGUUUAUUGCAAGAUGAGUUGGCUGAAUUCAAGACAUAUAUUGACGAGAAUUUAGCGAAGAAUUUCAUAAGCCAUUCAAAAUCUCCAGCAGGAGCUCCAAUUUUAUUCAUAAAGAAAAAAGAUGGAUCUUUACGAAUGUGUGUUGACUAUCGAGGACUCAACAAGAUUACAAUCAAGAACAGGUAUCCAUUACCUUUGAUAUCAGGACUCCUUGACCAGUUAAAUCAAGCUAAGAUCUAUACAAAAGUAGAUCUAAGAGGAGCAUAUAAUCUAGUACGGAUCAAAGAAGGAGAUGAAUGGAAGACUGCGUUUCGAACCAGGUACGGACACUUUGAAUACAAUGUCAUGCCUUUUGGACUCACGAAUGCACCAGCUGCUUUUCAACAUCUCAUGAAUGAUGUAUUUCGUGAAUUCUUAGACAAUUUUGUCGUCUGCUACCUAGACGAUAUCCUGAUUUAUUCUAAGAAUGUUGAAAAACAUGAAAUACAUGUUCGUCAAGUAUUACAAAAACUUAGAGAUGCAGGAUUGUACGCCAAGAUAGAAAAGUGUGUAUUUCACAUUACUCAAGUUGGCUUUUUAGGAUACAUCAUUUCAAAUGAUGGUCUUAUGAUGGAUUCUAAGAAAGUCCAAACAAUCAUGGAUUGGAAGAUUCCAAAGACUGUAAGAGAUGUCCAAUGUUUCUUGGGAUUUGUCAAUUACUAUCGGAUCUUCAUCAAAGACUUCUCACGAGUUGCAGCUCCACUUACACGCUUGACUAGUAAAGAUAAAUUCUAAUGGAAUCAAGAAGCGGAAGCAGCAUUUGAAGCCUUGAAGACAUCGUUUGUCUCUGCACCAGUCUUAUAUCGUGUUGACUUUUCCAAGGUAUUUUUUAUGGAAACAGACGCAUCGGAUUUUGCCUUGGGUGCAGUUUUAUCACAAAUGGGAACAGAUGACAAACUUCAUCCGAUAGCUUUUCAUUCAAGAAAAUUCUCAACAGCCGAGAUCAAUUAUGAGAUCCACAAUAAAGAACUUCUUGCAAUCGUGGAUUCUUUUCAAGAAUGGCGUCAUUAUCUAGAAGGUGCUUCUAGUCCAGUCACUGUGUAUACAGAUCACAAGAACCUCGAGUAUUUCAUGUCAGCACACGUGUUGAAUCGUCGUCAAGCUCGUUGGAAUAUGUCUUUGUCAAGAUUCGACUUCAUUAUCACUUAUCGGCCAGGAAAACAACAAGGUUUGUCCGAUGCCCUGUCUAGACGUUCUUAUUUUGCACCAAAAGAAGGAGAUGCAGCUUUUGAGCAACAAAAAACGGUCCUCUUGAAACCGGAGCAAUUUCGUCUCCGAGCAGUGAAAUCAACACUGACUGUUGAUUCAACUUUUCUCAAGCAAAUCCAGUCCAGUAUGUCCUCAGACCCUCUUGUUUAUGAUAUCGAGAAUAAUUCUUCCAAGUCUCAUGAUUCUUCUAAGUUCGAGUUCAAGAAUAAUCUAUUAUAUUUUGAAGGACGCCUAUAUGUUCCAGAAGGAAAAGCACGUUUGCGUGUUCUUCAAGCACGUCAUGACUUUCCAGCAGCAGGUCACUUUGGAUAUAAUAAGACUCUGGAACUCAUAUCAAGAGAUUUUUGGUGGCCACAAAUGUGGAAGUCAGUCAAAGACUUUGUACAAUCAUGUGAUAUUUGUUCAAGAUCAAAAAUUCCUCGACAUCGACCUUACGGACUUCUUCAGCCAUUACCUAUACUAGAACAACCAUGGUCUUCUGUUUCUAUGGAUUUCAUCACAGAUCUUCCAAACUCAAGAUCUUAUGAUUCUAUAUUUGUGAUAGUAGAUCGUUUCACCAAGAUGACACAUUUUGUGCCAUGUACAAAAUCUAUCACAGGUGAAGAAACAGCUAAGCUUUUCAUUGAUAAUAUCUAUCGCUAUCAUGGAUUACCUAAAGAUAUCAUAUCGGAUAGGGGAACUCAAUUUGUGUCGAGAUUCUGGAGGACUCUUUUCAAGAUUUUAAAAGUGGACAUAAAGCUAUCUUCAGCUUUCCAUCCUCAAACUGAUGGACAAACAGAGCGCGUAAACCAAGUCUGGGAACAGUAUUUAAGGUGUACCAUCAACUACCAACAAGAUGAUUGGACAAUCCUUCUGCCAUUGGCAGAGUUUGCUUAUAAUAAUACAGUACAUUCUUCCACGCAACAAACACCUUUCUUUGCCAAGUAUGGCUAUCAUCCACGACUUGAUACUUUUGAUUUUUCAAAAGUUGAUAAUCCUGCAGCAGAAGAUAUGGCAAAUCGGUUGUCAGAGUUACAUGCAAUAAUGAAGGCGCAGUUGAAGAAAGCUCAAGAACGACAAAAGAUAAAUGCAGAUGUAUAUAAUAAAGAGCAACCACAACUCAACGUGGGUGAUAAGGUAUGGCUACUUCGUCGCAAUAUCAAGACCACUCGAGCUUGUGACAAAUUGGACUAUCGUAGGCUUGGCCCCUUUUCUGUUUCUGAACAGAUCAACCCAGUUGCAUAUCGGUUACAUCUACCGGAGUCAAUGAAGAUCCAUCUUGUAUUCCACGUGUCUCUUCUUGAACCAUAUAAGACAGUGGAUAUACAAGGAAGAAGACAAAUGCCACCGCCUCCUAUAGAAGUAGAUAAUAAUGAAGAAUUUGAGGUGGAAGAGAUAUUAGACUCAAGGCGGCGCCGAAAUAAGCUGGAAUAUCUUGUUCAUUGGCGCGGAUAUGAUAUUAGUGAGCGCACAUGGGAGCCAUCCAGGAAUCUAGCAAAUGCAUCAGCUAAAGUCAAAGUUUUUCAUCAACGACAUCCAUCAAAACCAAGAUGAAAACCUCUCUUAUAAAAGAGACAAGAUUGAGGCAAGAUAACAUUCAAUUUCCUUGUUUGUAACUUCUUUGCAUUUGUGACGCUAAUUAGAUGGAGAGCCAACAACCAGCGGAUUCAACUCAAGAACCUUCGUUUGCUGACUUACCGGAUGAGACAUUGCGAUUGUCACAACCUUCAAGAUGAUGCAACCGAGAUGAAGAUCCUCAAGAACGACAUGUUCUUCCUCGAAUAGAUGGUGAGAUACAACGCAUUUGGUAUCACGACCUUGGAAGAGAUUCUCGAUGUUUGGUGAUAUUAUUGGAGAUAGGAACGACUCCUGAUGGUGUUUCAAAUGUAUUAUUUGAAAGAAGUUAUGAAGGCCUCAACAGUGAUCAAAUAACAGGGUGGUCUUCUCGCCCUGGAAUGGGACACUAUCGAUGGCUAAGAGGACCCAUCAACUAUCUUCGAAGAGAACAAUUAUCAGAGUAUGUAGCAAAUACAAUUCGCCGCAUAUUAGAUUUUCUCAAUAUAUAAUCACCGCUCCUCGUGGAACUCGUCCCUAGAAGGGGGGGUAAUGUCACGGACAUACAUAUAAUGACCUAUAUGAAUAGAUAAAAGUAUGUAAAAGUAGAUAAAAGUAGGUUAAUUGUGUAAUAUCUUCUAGAGAAGCUUCUUAGAAGCUUCAUAGACGCUGCUUUGACUUUAUAGGAGUCUAUAGUUGACUUUUAGGCUAGAAACUUGAUCAACAAGUUAGCCAUGUGCCACACAUGUUGGAAGCUUAAAGAACAAGCUAACUACGUGGUCCAUCCAUAGAAAACUUGCCUUGUAAGCAAAGGCAUGUGGCCUAGAAAGUCAACAUAUAUUGGAGGUCUUAUAGAACAUCGCCAUGUGGCUUCUAGUUAGAUAGUAUAUAUAGAGGCAAGAGUGAAGCCCUCUUCACUCUUGUCAACUCCUUUCUUGCUUCUAGUCCAGUUUCAAGGGUCUCUAGUUUUCUUGUAUUUUGGCAAUAGCCAUUCUAAUUUCUUUCUUAAUAUACAUAUUUCUAUUUUGUCCUAUUUCUUUGAGAAAAGUCUCACUUACUCUUUAGCUUUCAUCGAGUUCUUGUCAUUGACACACCCUCAAAAGAUGCCAUCUCAAGCUACACGUAGGUCCAAAAAAACUCUUGAUUUGGAGUUGUAAUGGAGAAGAUAUCACUACUCAAAGAUCGCUGAACCACAAACCCAGAAUUCGCUGUUUUGUAACUUUUUGUAAAUUAUGAGUCCAAAUCACGUCUAAAUGGUGGGGAAUGAAUUGUAAAGUAAUUCUAUGGCUCUCAUUAGUCUCCCUCACGUCACUCCACUCAAAAUGACUCACUAUCUCAUGAAACUUUCAAACACUAGUGUUACUUCAGCAAAGAUACUAUCAAGGUCUUGCACAAAACUCAUAUACUCACAAAUCCAGGAGCAAUGACUUCAACAACAUACUAGCAACACUCUACCAUAAGAUCCCAACCACCAAAGUAAGCAACAAAGAAAAUAAUGCAAGAACAACUUACUUGGUAAGAGAGUGUGGGCCCAUAACCUAUUGAAACAUAGAAAGCAAACUCCACACAAGCAAGUUAGGACCAGCAAGGUUGCACUUCAUAAAUAGAAUGUGGUAUGAGAUGAUUCUUUCCAUGCCAACCCUUUUCUUAUAUACUAGUACCAAGGUACCAUGUGUUACAACCCAUAUGGGAUAUCUCUUAGGACCAGCCCUCUCCUUGUAUUCUAAGGCACUAUAGACCAGCAACUAACCUUGUAGGAUAUCCCUCAUUACUCAUAUACUCUAUUGACCAUUAGCAACAACUAAAUGAGUUCUUUCCUUCAACAUGGCUUUCAAACAUCUCCCUCACAUCACUUCACUCAAAAUGACUCAAUUUCUCAUAAAACUCUCAAAUACUAGUGUUACUUCAGCAAAGACACUAUCAAGGUCUUGCACUAACCUCAUA